Calidris pugnax (ruff) is the source of this 824-nucleotide long non-coding RNA. RefSeq lists it as uncharacterized. The transcript has 2 exons. The record is from RefSeq and is a predicted model, not a curated record. Lineage: Eukaryota; Metazoa; Chordata; Aves; Charadriiformes; Scolopacidae.
CCCUCUGUCCCAAAUUGCUUUCAGUGCUGCACCUCCUCCUCAGAUCCUGUACAACCCUGCCCAGCAGAUCCUGACGUACGCUGGCUUCUGCCCUUCCGCAGCCAUUUCUACAUAUCCAUCCUACCCCUUACCUCUGCAGCCUGCCAGCAAUUUCCCAGGAACAUCAUCUACUGACAUUUCUUUAUCAGAAGAAACUCAGCCUCCAUCUCAGUCCAGCUCCAGCUAUGGUCUUCCCCCCAAUGCUCCAGCCCUUUAUACUCCAACUUACUUCUUGCCUGGAGAAAAGCCUCCACCAUAUGCACCAUAGAACAAAGAAUUUUAGGUAGCUCGUAGCCUUUUAUUUUGUUUUUAAGAAACCUCUGGAAACUGUGCUGUGCAGGCGCCAGACCUCCCCAGGAACCCACUACAGAAUGUGUCACGGCCACUCUGCUUUUACCCACAUCUCACUGUGGGCAGAGCAGAACCCUGGAAACCUUGGGGCAGAGACAUCACCAGUGGGGUGACCAGUUGCCACCCAGUUUGCUUGCAGUCAAAUGCAGUGUUGCUUUCUGGAGACCAUGAGACCUUCUUGCUACACUGUAGAAUGAAUUUUCUUCAAGAGGAGAAAUGAUGAAAACACCCUGGGUACAUGUUCUGCUUUCGUAAACCAAUGUAGGGGGGUUGUAGCCUGUGUUGUCUGAGUGGAUAGUCAGGAGCUCUCCGAGUCAAUCAUUUUGGGUAGAAAGAGACCAGGUGUUUGUUUGCUUGUAGUAUUUAUUUAAUAACCCUUUUUGGUGAAAGUGUUGUACCAAUAAAUAAAGUGUGGCAAUUAUUUUACAAUAAAA